CUUGGUCAUUUAGAGGAAGUAAAAGUCGUAACAAGGUUUCCGUAGGUGAACCUGCGGAAGGAUCAUUACAAGUGAGGCUACCGAACGUUGGAAACAGCGGUUAGGAGCUUACACCCACCCGUGUUUACAUACUAUUGUUGCUUUGGCGGGCCGUGGCCUCCACUGCGGGCUCUGCUCGUGUGUGCCCGCCAGAGAACCAAACUCUGAAUGUUAGUGAUGUCUGAGUACUAUAUAAUAGUUAAAACUUUCAACAACGGAUCUCUUGGUUCUGGCAUCGAUGAAGAACGCAGCGAAAUGCGAUAAGUAAUGUGAAUUGCAGAAUUCAGUGAAUCAUCGAAUCUUUGAACGCACAUUGCGCCCUGUGGUAUUCCGCAGGGCAUGCCUGUUCGAGCGUCAUUUAACCACUCACGCCUAGCGUGGUAUUGGGGCACGCGGGUCUCCGCGGCCCUCAAAAUUAGUGGCGGCGCCGGUGGGCUCUAAGCGUAGUACAUACUCCCGCUAUAGAGUUCCCCCGGUGGCUCGCCAGAACCCCCAAUUUUUACAGGUUGACCUCGGAUCAGGUAGGGAUACCCGCUGAACUUAAGCAUAUCAAUAAGCGGAGGA
This 603-nucleotide ribosomal RNA is filed under the name uncultured Helotiales. Its description in RNAcentral is "eukaryotic LSU rRNA". The stretch from base 243 to 396 matches the Rfam family "5.8S ribosomal RNA". Lineage: Eukaryota; Fungi; Ascomycota; Leotiomycetes; Helotiales. The record is from RNAcentral.